RNAcentral lists this ribosomal RNA (810 nucleotides) under Cellulosimicrobium sp. RNAcentral describes it as "bacterial SSU rRNA". It matches the Rfam family "Bacterial small subunit ribosomal RNA", at positions 9 to 833 of the family's 1533-position model. Lineage: Bacteria; Bacillati; Actinomycetota; Actinomycetes; Micrococcales; Promicromonosporaceae. The record is from RNAcentral.
GAGUUUGAUCAUGGCUCAGGACGAACGCUGGCGGCGUGCUUAACACAUGCAAGUCGAACGAUGAAGCCCAGCUUGCUGGGUGGAUUAGUGGCGAACGGGUGAGUAACACGUGAGUAACCUGCCCUUGACUUCGGGAUAACUCCGGGAAACCGGGGCUAAUACCGGAUAUGAGCUACCUUCGCAUGGGGGUGGUUGGAAAGUUUCUCGGUCAGGGAUGGGCUCGCGGCCUAUCAGCUUGUUGGUGGGGUGAUGGCCUACCAAGGCGACGACGGGUAGCCGGCCUGAGAGGGCGACCGGCCACACUGGGACUGAGACACGGCCCAGACUCCUACGGGAGGCAGCAGUGGGGAAUAUUGCACAAUGGGCGCAAGCCUGAUGCAGCGACGCCGCGUGAGGGAUGAAGGCCUUCGGGUUGUAAACCUCUUUCAGCAGGGAAGAAGCGCAAGUGACGGUACCUGCAGAAGAAGCGCCGGCUAACUACGUGCCAGCAGCCGCGGUAAUACGUAGGGCGCAAGCGUUGUCCGGAAUUAUUGGGCGUAAAGAGCUCGUAGGCGGUCUGUCGCGUCUGGUGUGAAAACUCGAGGCUCAACCUCGAGCUUGCAUCGGGUACGGGCAGACUAGAGUGCGGUAGGGGAGACUGGAAUUCCUGGUGUAGCGGUGGAAUGCGCAGAUAUCAGGAGGAACACCGAUGGCGAAGGCAGGUCUCUGGGCCGCAACUGACGCUGAGGAGCGAAAGCAUGGGGAGCGAACAGGAUUAGAUACCCUGGUAGUCCAUGCCGUAAACGUUGGGCACUAGGUGUGGGGCUCAUU